This 468-nucleotide ribosomal RNA is filed under the name uncultured bacterium. Its description in RNAcentral is "partial 16S ribosomal RNA". It matches the Rfam family "Bacterial small subunit ribosomal RNA", at positions 28 to 507 of the family's 1533-position model. The record is from RNAcentral.
GACGAACGCUGGCGGCGUGCUUAACACAUGCAAGUCGAACGGAAAGGCCCUGCUUUUGUGGGGUGCUCGAGUGGCGAACGGGUGAGUAACACGUGAGUAACCUGCCCUUGACUUUGGGAUAACUUCAGGAAACUGGGGCUAAUACCGGAUAGGAGCUCCUGCUGCAUGGUGGGGGUUGGAAAGUUUCGGCGGUUGGGGAUGGACUCGGGGCUUAUCAGCUUGUUGGUGGGGUAGUGGCUUACCAAGGCUUUGACGGGUAGCCGGCCUGAGAGGGUGACCGGCCGCAUUGGGGCAGGGAUGCUGCCGAGACUCCUGCUGAAGUCAACAGUGAGGAAUAUUGCACAAUGGUCGGAAGCCUGACGCAGCAACGCCGCGUGCGAGAUGACGACCUUCAAGUUAUAAACCGCUUUCGCCUGUGACGAAGCGUGAGUGACGGUAAUGGGUAAAGAGGCACCGGCUAACUACGUG